ACAGCACUAGCCUUUUAAGCUAGAGAAAGAGGACCCACACCUCCUUAAUGAA
This 52-nucleotide transfer RNA is filed under the name Zosterops hypolais (plain white-eye). RNAcentral's name for it is "tRNA-Lys". Lineage: Eukaryota; Metazoa; Chordata; Aves; Passeriformes; Zosteropidae. The record is from RNAcentral.